CUCUUCCCGGCCCCCAUCCCACCACCCAUGAGGAGGAGGACCGGACUUCUGUCGCUAAGAGCCAUUGGUACCAUGACAUUCGUGCACUGAGAAUCGUCGUUUGUCACGAGUCCAAUAGCUUUCAUCUCCUCCACUAAUGUGUUUUUCUAGGAAUUACUUGUUGGAUUGAAACGAAGCCUGAGAUCGACAUGCCUGGCUGAGCAUAAACGACGUAUGUUUCCAGUGGAACGCAAAGUAGCUGAGGAUGCAUCUUUCGAAUUCUUCCACCAGUUUGAUGAAGAGAGAAUCGCAUUCAGGAUCAUUUGCAAAAAACGCGUACAUGUCCUCUUCGCAUCCCUCAGCUUUUUUAAUAUAUUCGGAUGCCAACUUACACAAAUCAAACGCGAUCGAAGAUCCAAGGGAGGAGAGGAAGGGGCACAGAGAUUUCUUAUUACCUACAUAGUGAGAGAACUUCUCAAUGCUCAAAACCUGGUCGGCAGCGGAGAUUCUCUUCCGAGGUAUGAUCUUCCUGUCGCGUACUUUCCUGAUGCGGUAAUGCAGCGCGGCUGCUAUGAUCAGCCCCACGGAGGAGGCCACGAGGAUCUGCGUGUACGUUGCUUUAGCGCUGCCGUUCAUCUCAUCUGCCGUAGAAUCAAACAUAAUAAUCUAUGACGGGAAACUAGUUUUUUUGUUGAUCAGUUUUUACGUAUGUUUUGCCACUAUGCAUCUCUUGCCUGUGGAAGGACAAGAAUGUGUGUAUUCCCUCUGUUUCUUUCUCUUCUCUCUCUCUUUCUCUCUCUGUGUGUGUGUUUUUCUGUUUAUUUUGUUCCUAUGAAUUUGGAGAUGGAUGUUGAUGAAUGUCUGAAUGUUUCAACUCCUUGUAUGUGGUCAAUUUGCAUCAUGAAUUAUCAAACAACAUUCUGUUUUAUGUUGCA
Long non-coding RNA from Salvia splendens (bonfire salvia), 914 nucleotides. RefSeq lists it as uncharacterized. NCBI's taxonomy places the organism in Eukaryota, Viridiplantae, Streptophyta, Magnoliopsida, Lamiales, Lamiaceae. The record is from RefSeq and is a predicted model, not a curated record. The transcript has 3 exons.